This is a long non-coding RNA of Patiria miniata (bat star), 1469 nucleotides long. RefSeq lists it as uncharacterized. The record is from RefSeq and is a predicted model, not a curated record. The transcript has 5 exons. Lineage: Eukaryota; Metazoa; Echinodermata; Asteroidea; Valvatida; Asterinidae.
AAAUCACUCCGCUUUCUACGUGUAGGCCUACACGCUAGGAAAAUGAUGAAAAUAACGCGAGGAAAACAUCGCAGCGUUAGUGAGAGUAAAAAUACCCGAAAUCGGUAUUAUUUUUCUUGCCACAAAGUAAACAAAAUGGGUUAUGGAAAAAACAAAUCAAAAUGACGAAAAUAACGGCAUAGAAAUUAAUCAUCUGCAACGAGAGAAGUAAAUACAUGUACAUGUACUUGCAAAUUUUGGCAAACGGUGGGAAAAUGACGGCAGCAAAAGAAAAUGAAAUUGACGAAAUUACGAGAAAAAAAAUCACACCAUAAUGAACAAAAUAUUUGUUUAGAAAAUGACUGAAUUUCAGUUAUAUACAGCGGCAUUUCAAAAACAUCAAAAUUGUUGGCAUUGUCGAGAAGUGCCUUCAAAAAGACCUAAUUGCCCCCCCCACACACACACACACCAAAAAAGUACACUGUGAAAGGUUACAACUUAUUGGCAACCUGCCAAUAUCGGCGUCGGCACAUGUUCGUGUGCAUUAUGACAAAAAAGAUCAUGUCUGUUUUUAAAAGUAAAUAGUGGAAACAUGGGUAGAAUCGUUUAGUUUUUAUUUGGUAACAAGUGGCCUUAUUACAGGUAGGCUUAUAGACAUAAUGCUUUGAAAUGUUUCACUUCAGUAACAAAUGGGCUAGGCCCAGUGUUUUCGUAACCCUGUUCACUUAGGAAAGAGUUGCAGCUUUCAACAAAGAAACUGAUGAUCUAAAAGUUGAGACUGCAUGGAUGAGCUAGGCUGCUUUGUCUGGACGAAAAUCAACCCUCCAAGGCUCCAACAGCCUCAUCAAACAGAAACUCGAGGAACCGGAAGCAGGGAGGAGGACCGACAGAUGAACGGAUGACCUGCUUGCUGGGCUACCCAUUACUGAUUCUUGAGAAAAAUGAGGACCACUGACUGAUGAGGGAAUUGCUUUACUGAGAUUGAUGAGCCUGCUUCAAGACAUCGUCAAGGCUCCAUCAGCCUUACCACACAGAAACUCGAGGAACCGGAAGCAGGGAGGAGGACCGACAGAUGAACGGAUGACCUGCUUGCUGGACUUCCCAUUACUGACUAUCAGAAAAAUGAGGACCACUGACUGAUGAGGGAGUUGCUCUACUGAGGCUCCAACAGCCUCAUCAAACAGAAACUCGAGAAACCGGAAGCAGGGAGGAGGACCGACAGAUGAACGGAUGACCUGCUUGUUGGGCUUCCCAUUCCUGAUUAUUAGAAAAAUGAGGACCACUGACUGAUGAGGGAAUUGCUUUACUGAGAUUGAUGAGCCUGCUUCAAGACAUCGUCAAGGCUCCAUCAGCCUUACCACACAGAAACUCGAGGAACCGGAAGCAGGGAGGAGGACCGACAGAUGAACGGAUGACCUGCUUGCUGGGCUUCCCAUUACUGACUAUCAGAAAAAUGAGGACCACUGACUGAUGAGGGAAUUGCUUUACUG